GGAAGCGUAGUGUUCAACGGUCAGCAUAUCUGACUUCCAAUCAGACGGAGCGGGUUCGAAUCCCGUCGCUUCCU
Molecule: transfer RNA, 74 nt
Filed under: Nocardia farcinica
Lineage: Bacteria; Bacillati; Actinomycetota; Actinomycetes; Mycobacteriales; Nocardiaceae
Description: tRNA_Gly_TCC
Rfam family: tRNA
About the family: Transfer RNA (tRNA) molecules are approximately 80 nucleotides in length.
Source: RNAcentral